UUUGGGUCUCAGCUGAAAUAUUUCUUUUUAGAGAGAACUUUCCUUCUGAAACCAAUUCAUGAAGUUUUCUCCUCUUGCUGCCCUCCCUAAUUGCAGUUAAAGCAUUCUGCAAGUUAUUCAUUUUAUUUGUUAACUGGCUUGAUUAUUGUCAGUUUCUCCCUCUGAUGUGACAUCCACAGGGAGAAUAACUCUGCCUGUCUUGCUGACUUCCUUUUCUCAUGUGCCUUGCCUAGGGCCUGGCACAUAGUAGGUAUUUAGAAAAAUAUGUAUUGGAUGAAUUAAGCCACUGGGAGAACAAGAGACAGGAAUGUUAAUAACUGAGUGCAGAAUUUAUAUAGAAUUGCUUAUUUAUGUAUGGCUAGGUUAAGAAAUGUAAGGUCAAAGUGGAAGUUCAGAGCCGAGUCAAGAGGGCAUUGUAUUCGCUGCUAUAGUAAUGACUGGACUUUAUCCUGUAGGUGAUAUGCAUUUAUGGAAGGGCUUAAGCAAGGGAAGACACAGUCAAAUUUAUAUUUUAAAACGAUCCAUCUAGCUAUAGGGUAGUGAAUAGAUCGGAAGGGAAGAAGACAUGCUGCAAAGGAACAAAUUUGGACAUGGUUGAAGAAAUCUGAGUGAGAGAUGAUAGAACCUCUAAGUAAGGCCAGUGACAGUGGAAGUGAAGCCAUAUUUGAAAGAUCUGAGGUAGGAAAAAAGUUUUGAUUGAAAGUGGAGAGUGAGGAAACGGGAAUGGAAAGGAAUGGAAACAGAGCAGCAAAACACUUAAGUGGGUCAAACAGAGCAAAGGCAGCAAAACACUUAAGUGGGUCAAACAGAGCAAAGACACAUUGAUAUAAAAUGAUGUAUGAAAAGUUGAUAUGAACAGUAGCGUUUAAAUUUCCCCUAUGUCCACUCCCUCAUUUCUAGCUCCAUGGUAACCUUGAAAACCAGCUAUCUCUAAUAUCAGUGAAAAUGAGCAUCCUGCACCCACUAGAGGGAGCAAAACAGGGCUGGAACCCUUUCAAAGCCUCAUUUCCAGAGAACUGUCCUUAUUUAUUUGUCUGUUGGUGUCUUGGAAGACUCCAUUCUCAAGGCUGUCCUUGUUAAGCUGGGUUAGAGCUCACUUUGUGUGGAAAGUCUUUUCUUUAGUGUUGAAAACAGCGAAAGACAGUUGUUUAAUAUUAUGGCUACCUGAGAUAGUAGAUAAAAAUUGGGGCAAGUAAUUGACUAACCAAAAAGCUCAAAGGAAAAAUCUAGAGCAUAACAUCUCCAUAUGGGGCUUUGAAGAGCUUUGACACAUUCCUGAGAAGCUAGAAGCCCAUGUGCCUGCCUUGAGCUGUGUGAAUGCUCAGGAAAGACCUGAGAAGGAUCUAAGCUCUCAUCUGUGGGUGACUUUGAGGCUCCUCCCAGGGAGAACCAAAGGCUAAGGCAGCAUGGUUAACUGCUCACUGAGGGUUGAGGGCAUGGUCAACAGGCACACAGGCCCUUUUGACAAAGACUGAGAGACUUAUUGGUUCUAAGAAUUUGAGGAAAUCUCUGUCUAAUUCGCUGAUCACUAAGCUUACAAAGCAGAGCUUUAAGAGUUGAUAUACGUCAAAGAAUAUAGACUUUACAUAAUUCAGUAAAAUCACUAAACAAACAAUAGCAACUACAAUAAACAGCAAUAACAACAAACCCUGGUUGGAGGGUGGGGGAAGAAUCUGAUUUCCAGAGUGCCACAUGAUUUAAAAUGUUCAGUUUUGACAAAAAUUUAUGAUAUGCAAAGAAAUAGGAAAGGAUGGCCCUUACACAGAAAAAAAGGAGUCACUAGAAACCAAGAAAGACUCCUUGAUAGGCUUAAGAGACAAAGAACUCAAGUCAGCUAUUUUCAAUAUAUUCAAAGAACUAAAAGAAAACAUGUCUAAAGAACUACAAGAAAGCAUGAGCAUGAUGUCUCACCAAAUUAAUAAUAUCUGUAAAGAGAUAAAAAUUAUAAAAAAGGAACCAAACAGGACUUUUGGUGUUGAAAAGUACAAAAACUUAAAUGAAAAAUUCACUAUAAGUUAUCAAGAUCAGAUUUGGGUAGACAGGAAGAAAAAAAUCAGCAAACUUAAAGAUAGGUGGUUGAAAUUAUCCAAAUUGAGGAACAUUAAAAAAAAAAA
This 2114-nucleotide long non-coding RNA is filed under the name Sus scrofa (pig). Its description in RNAcentral is "lncRNA (ENSSSCG00040052063.1)". The record is from RNAcentral. Lineage: Eukaryota; Metazoa; Chordata; Mammalia; Artiodactyla; Suidae.